Drosophila obscura is the source of this 1114-nucleotide long non-coding RNA. RefSeq lists it as uncharacterized. The transcript has 3 exons. The record is from RefSeq and is a predicted model, not a curated record. NCBI's taxonomy places the organism in Eukaryota, Metazoa, Arthropoda, Insecta, Diptera, Drosophilidae.
CUUGAAUAAACACAAUAUCAGUAAAACAAACAGAAUCUAAACACACCGGUCAAUAUGAACUCCAGUCAGAACGUCGAUAGCUCGGAGGAGCAGACCAUGAAAAGUGACCCUUACUUCAGUGAGAUCCUGAACAAUUACAAUUGCCGGGCCAAGCACCAAGAAAUUGUAUUGAAAUACGGCAAUCCACGUCGCGCCAGAGACUCAGUUGAGCCACGAACAAAUUUGUGCACGCUGCGACCGUAAUAUAGCCUACCAUAAAAUAAUGAUCGCACGGGAGACCGAAACGAAGAACAAAGUGCCAGGGCUCCAAGGACACAAGCAAUAUUCCACACAAAAAAUCAAUAAUUGUUGCAGCAGGGGGCGGGGCGUGGUGCAAGAACGCGGAUGCAUGUGAGUGGGAGCAAACUUUUCUUGUCAAUUGAGAGGCAGGGCAGGCGAGUUCACCAGUAGAGAAGCCCCUCGCAUUCCUCAUCCCCUUAACUGAGCCAAAUCCAUGCUCAUAACUAAUUGCCAAAGCCGACGAAGUCGCCUUCGCCAUCGCCAGUUGCCGUUGCCAUCUUAAGUCGCCUUUGGCAGCAUUGCAAAGUUUAAAUUAAGUUGCGUGUCAUAGUCGAAAAGUUUUCCACUUAUUCAAAAGAAGAACGUGCUCUGCUCUGCCUUCUAGUAUCCAGGAAUGGGUCCAGUAUCAAUCCACAAGCAUGGAAAAAAAAAAACACAAGCAACAAAAAAAAACGUACUGAGUACCUGCCGUGCCUGAAGCAAGUAAAAACAUGCAUAUUUUUACAUUGAGAAGUUACCAAGUUGCUAGGUACAAAGUGAGUCAGUCACAUGUGCUGUUGCCAUUGAAGGACGAACUGCGCCUAAAGCGACUAUGAUUCGAAUAAAACUGAUUAAUAAAUGAUAUUAUGAUUCGUGUAUUGCAGCGAGUGGGCGCAAACAGCUUGGAGUGGAUCUACAGCUACAAUAAGCACAAUUCCCUUUUUGAUUCCCACUUUCCCAUUUAAUGCAGCGAUUGAUUGCUGACAGCUGCUUUCCAGCUUAAAUAUUUAUAUGUAAUUUCUUUGGACAUUAAGUUAAUGCAAACAAACUAAAUUAAUAAAUGGAAUCUCAGCCG